UAGAUUUUACUCACAUCUUUACCACAUUCAUGCUAUAAUCAUUAUAAACUCAUCACAUAAUACCAUAGCGCAUGCAUGCAUAAUUAAAAUGGAUUUACAACCCCAUAAUCAAAAUAGGCCAAGACAUAUGGCUAAAGCCAUAUCACAUACUCUAAUAUUUAAACUCCUAUACAUGCCAUAGGCUCAAAGUACUUGAAAUCACUACACCAAUAACAUUAGCUUGACAGUGUGAUAAUAUCUCCGACGAACUCCAACCCGAGCUAACCUGACAACCCUAGGAAACAUGGGAAAGAAGGGGGGGUAAGCUUUCGCUUAGUAAGUUCAUAUGAAAACAAGAAGCAACUCAUUAACUUGUUUUAUCAAUGUUUACAACAUAUUCUCAAGUUCACUACAAGCUGUCUUUCUGAGUAAUAGUAACUAAAUUAUUUAUAUCUGGAGCUAUAAAACUCCGAAUUAAGUUCCGUUCAUUUUCCAUGAAACUAGACUUAUUUUCCUUUCUUCUAUAAAAUUUUCAGAAUUUUUGGUUAAGCCAAAUAGUACAGUUUAUUCCUCAAAUUUACCCCUGAUUCACUGUCUGAUAGUUUCGACCCUUCUGUACUAAAGUUCAAUUAUCUCAUAGUACAAGACUCAAAUAAUGUUCUCGUCUAUUUCUCUUGAAACUAGACUCAUAUUUAUACUUAAUAUUUUUUUCUAGAAUUUUUGGUUGGGCCAAUUAGUACAGUUUAUUAGUUAAAGUCUCCCCUAUUUCAGGGUAUGACCACUUUGACCCCUGUGCACUACAAACAAAAUUUCUCCCUGUACAGAAUUUCAACGACUAUACCGUUUAUUUCCCCUAAAAUAGACUCAAUAAGGAAUCCAUGCAUGUAAUGUAUGACUCUUAAUAAUUUUUGUACAAUUUUUGGUGAAUUUCUAAAGUCAGAAUAGGGGAUCUCGAAUUCAUUCAGACCCUGUUUCACAAGAAUUCAAAUAUCACACAAUAUGGAAUUCUUUUUCUUCCCCUGUUUCUUUCAUGUGAAAAUACACUUAUUAAGCUUUAAUCCCAUAUUUUAUUCUGCCUCUAACUCAUUUUUAAAUAUUUUUAGUGUAUUUUCAAAGUUACACUACUGCAGUAACUCAAAUCUGUCAAGGCUAAAUUACUCAUUCAUGAUCAUUGUUCACAAAAUUAAUACAACAUCAUUUGUAUAAUCAUCACCGAGACAUUCAUAUCACAUUUUCAUUUACCAUCUUACCAUUUUGUUGUUAUGUCGAGUUUUCAACCCGAGGGUUAAGUACAUACCUGUUCAAAGUAUCCAUUUCACAACAUUUAUCAAUACGUCCCUUUCAUCUCGAGUAUUCCUCCAUUUGAGUAGAAUUUUACCCAUUGAACACAUCAGAAUAUAAUUCGGAUACAUAGAAAGUUUGCACAUAAGUGCCACGUAUGUAGCCAAGCUACCAUGUAACCCGCCUAUAAGUGAACUCGGACAGCAUCCAUAAGUGAACUCGGACUCAACUCAACGAGCUCGGAUGCCUAGUUACAUCUCACGAACUCGGACUCAACUCAACGAGUUCGAACAUUCGCAUCCAUAAGUGAACUCGGACUCAACUCAACGAGCUCGGAUGCCCAAAUAUUUCAGUGACAUGUCACUUGUAUCCUAAUCUAUUCCUAAGGUUCAACGGGACCUUUUUCCCAAUCAUGUGUCUCAACCAUCUUCUACGGAAUGCCGAUACCAAUACUCGGUAGUAUUUCACAUUUUCCAAGUAUAUCAUAUAAUUUGACAUAUUAUUAAACAAUUAUCACAAGUAUAAUAUCUCAUAAUAAUUAUCAUAUCAUUUAAAUAACAUCAAAACAUUUAAAAUAAUAACUAUGUUACCAACAUUUACAUAUGAACUUACCUCGAUACCACAAAGGUAAAAAAAGACGUAAUUAUCCCUUAAUCGAUUUCUUUUCGUUCUAGGUCCAAAUCUCAAUUUUUAUCAUCUAAAAUAUCACAUUCAACUUAUUAAAACAAUGUACUAAUCAAAUUAGUCCAUUGACACACUUGAGCAAUUUUUACAAUUUUGCCCCUAUAUUUUGCCAAAAUUACCAAAUUACCCCUAGGCUCGUAAAAUAAUUUUUAUCACAUUUCUUUACUCCUUGAGUCUAGAUGAACCAUUUUCAUAACUAUAGCAACUCAUAAUUUCAACUAUUUCACACAUUUACAACUCAUUUUACAACUUAGCAAUCUAGCUUUUUUUAAGGUAUUUUCAUGCAAUUUCUUUCACAAAAGUUGUUUAUUAGACAACUAGGACUCAUAAUCUUCCAUAAAAACACAGCAAACAACACAUUUACUCUCAUGGCAAAACCCUGGACUCUUCAUCAUUUUGCAAAAUAGACCCCUCAUAUGAAAGCUCAUGCUUUAGGGGUUCCAAAAAUGUAAAAAUCAUCAAGAAAGACAUUAAAAAUCACUUACUAGCAAGGGAUGUAAGUGGCUGAUAUUUCAGAGCUUCAAAACCCCUUUCUUUUCUGCCAUUUUCGGUGGAGGAGAAGAGAAAAAUGAUAGCUUUUUCUUUUUAAUUUGUUAAUAAUAAAAUUAGUCAAAAUUGGUGACCAACUUCACCUAAUUUUGACUUUUCAACAAUUUUUUUUGUCUCCCAUGGC
This 2617-nucleotide long non-coding RNA is filed under the name Gossypium barbadense (sea-island cotton). RNAcentral's name for it is "long non-coding RNA (GBAR_LNC003890)". The record is from RNAcentral. Lineage: Eukaryota; Viridiplantae; Streptophyta; Magnoliopsida; Malvales; Malvaceae.